AUCGCUUCUCGGCCUUUUGGCUAAGAUCAAGUGUAGUAUCUAAACACCUUCGGGGGUUAGCUUAAGGAAAGAGACAGCUUUU
RNAcentral lists this small nuclear RNA (82 nucleotides) under Suricata suricatta (meerkat). Its description in RNAcentral is "U2 spliceosomal RNA (ENSSSUG00005009262.1)". It matches the Rfam family "U2 spliceosomal RNA". Rfam says of the family: U2 is a small nuclear RNA (snRNA) component of the spliceosome (involved in pre-mRNA splicing). Complementary binding between U2 snRNA (in an area lying towards the 5' end but 3' to hairpin I) and the branchpoint sequence (BPS) of the intron results the bulging out of an unpaired adenosine, on the BPS, which initiates a nucleophilic attack at the intronic 5' splice site, thus starting the first of two transesterification reactions that mediate splicing. Lineage: Eukaryota; Metazoa; Chordata; Mammalia; Carnivora; Herpestidae. The record is from Rfam by way of RNAcentral.